GCUAGGAUGAACGCUAGCGACAGGCCUAACACAUGCAAGUCGAGGGGCAGCACAAGGAGCAAUCUGAGGUGGCGACCGGCGCACGGGUGAGUAACACGUAUGCAACCUGCCUGUAAGCGGGGAAUAACCCGUUGAAAGACGGACUAAUACCGCAUAAUACUAAAUUACUGCAUGGUAAUUUAUUUAAACAUUUAUGGCUUACAGAUGGGCAUGCGCAUGAUUAGCUAGUUGGAGAGGUAACGGCUCCCCAAGGCAACGAUCAUUAGGGGUUCUGAGAGGAAGGUCCCCCACACUGGUACUGAGACACGGACCAGACUCCUACGGGAGGCAGCAGUGAGGAAUAUUGGUCAAUGGACGAGAGUCUGAACCAGCCAAGUCGCGUGCAGGAAGAAUGUUCCCUAUGGAUUGUAAACUGCUUUUGCAGGGGAAUAAAGUGCAUCACGUGUGAUGUUUUGUAUGUACUCUGCGAAUAAGGAUCGGCUAACUCCGUGCCAGCAGCCGC
This 502-nucleotide ribosomal RNA is filed under the name uncultured bacterium. Its description in RNAcentral is "bacterial SSU rRNA". It matches the Rfam family "Bacterial small subunit ribosomal RNA", at positions 26 to 518 of the family's 1533-position model. The record is from RNAcentral.